Psammomys obesus (fat sand rat) is the source of this 289-nucleotide long non-coding RNA. RefSeq lists it as uncharacterized. The record is from RefSeq and is a predicted model, not a curated record. The transcript has 3 exons. Lineage: Eukaryota; Metazoa; Chordata; Mammalia; Rodentia; Muridae.
UUCCAAGCGAGAUGGUUGGGCGGGCUGUCCUCAAGAAAUUCACACGAAUCAUAAAUCUGGAUCCAUCUACUCAGAAUACCAUCAAAUAUAUAAAGUAUCUUGUCACCCAACUGCUUGACAAUGAACUUUCCUAAUGCAGGCCUCCAGGGAUAUAUUUACUGUGGUGCCUGAGCGUGACAGAAGAGGGCAGCAGAUCCCCUGGAGCUGGAAUUAACAGUAGUUUGGGAGCUGAGUAAUAUGGAUGCCGGGAACAAAUUCAAUUCUUCUGCAAGAGCAGCAAAAGCUCAUA